RNAcentral lists this ribosomal RNA (1392 nucleotides) under Paenarthrobacter sp. RNAcentral describes it as "bacterial SSU rRNA". The record is from RNAcentral. Lineage: Bacteria; Bacillati; Actinomycetota; Actinomycetes; Micrococcales; Micrococcaceae.
GCAAGUCGAACGAUGAUCCGGUGCUUGCACCGGGGAUUAGUGGCGAACGGGUGAGUAACACGUGAGUAACCUGCCCUUGACUCUGGGAUAAGCCUGGGAAACUGGGUCUAAUACCGGAUAUGACUUCUCAUCGCAUGGUGGGGGGUGGAAAGCUUUUGKGGUUUUUGAUKGRMUCCCGGSCCAUCCACUUGGUGGGGGGGKAAUGGGCCAACCAGGGSAACAACGGKAACCCGGCCGGAAAGGUGAACGGGCCCCCUGGGAAUGGAAACCCGGCCCAAAUCCCACCGGAAGGCRCCRUGGGGAAUAUUGGCCMAUGGGGGAAAGCCCGGAGGCACCACCCCCCCGGGAGGAAGAACGGCUUUCGGUUGGAAACCUCCUUUCAUAAGGAAAAAACCCCUUCGGGKGGACGGACUUGGCAAAAAAGCCCCCGGCAACUUCCUGGCCACCRCCGGCGKAAUUCCUAAGGCGCCAGCCUUAAUCCGGAUAAUUGGCCUWAAGAACUCCKAAGCCGGUUGGCCSGCCGSUGGUAAGACCGGGGCUCAACUCCGGUUCUGCAGUGGGUACGGGCAGACUAGAGUGCAGUAGGGGAGACUGGAAUUCCUGGUGUAGCGGUGAAAUGCGCAGAUAUCAGGAGGAACACCGAUGGCGAAGGCAGGUCUCUGGGCUGUAACUGACGCUGAGGAGCGAAAGCAUGGGGAGCGAACAGGAUUAGAUACCCUGGUAGUCCAUGCCGUAAACGUUGGGCACUAGGUGUGGGGGACAUUCCACGUUUUCCGCGCCGUAGCUAACGCAUUAAGUGCCCCGCCUGGGGAGUACGGCCGCAAGGCUAAAACUCAAAGGAAUUGACGGGGGCCCGCACAAGCGGCGGAGCAUGCGGAUUAAUUCGAUGCAACGCGAAGAACCUUACCAAGGCUUGACAUGGACCGGAAAGACCUGGAAACAGGUGCCCCGCUUGCGGCCGGUUUACAGGUGGUGCAUGGUUGUCGUCAGCUCGUGUCGUGAGAUGUUGGGUUAAGUCCCGCAACGAGCGCAACCCUCGUUCUAUGUUGCCAGCGGUUCGGCCGGGGACUCAUAGGAGACUGCCGGGGUCAACUCGGAGGAAGGUGGGGACGACGUCAAAUCAUCAUGCCCCUUAUGUCUUGGGCUUCACGCAUGCUACAAUGGCCGGUACAAAGGGUUGCGAUACUGUGAGGUGGAGCUAAUCCCAAAAAGCCGGUCUCAGUUCGGAUUGGGGUCUGCAACUCGACCCCAUGAAGUCGGAGUCGCUAGUAAUCGCAGAUCAGCAACGCUGCGGUGAAUACGUUCCCGGGCCUUGUACACACCGCCCGUCAAGUCACGAAAGUUGGUAACACCCGAAGCCGGUGGCCUAACCCUUGUGGGGGGAGCCGUCGA